GUCCCGGUAGCGCAAUGGAUAGCGCGUUGGACUUCUACUACAACAGCAGUGGGUUCGAAACCCACCUGAAAUG
Non-coding RNA from Trichonephila clavipes, 73 nucleotides. The record is from the annotation of a GenBank genome assembly. NCBI's taxonomy places the organism in Eukaryota, Metazoa, Arthropoda, Arachnida, Araneae, Nephilidae.